GAUGAACGCUGGCGGCGUGCCUAAUACAUGCAAGUCGAGCGAACAGACGAGGAGCUUGCUCCUCUGACGUUAGCGGCGGACGGGUGAGUAACACGUGGAUAACCUACCUAUAAGACUGGGAUAACUUCGGGAAACCGGAGCUAAUACCGGAUAAUAUACUGAACCACAUGGUUCAAUAGUGAAAGACGGUUUUGCUGUCACUUAUAGAUGGAUCCGCGCCGCAUUAGCUAGUUGGUAAGGUAACGGCUUACCAAGGCAACGAUGCGUAGCCGACCUGAGAGGGUGAUCGGCCACACUGGAACGGAGACACGGUCCAGACUCCUACGGGAGGCAGCAGUAGGGAAUCUUCCGCAAUGGGCGAAAGCCUGACGGAGCAACGCCGCGUGAGUGAUGAAGGUCUUCGGAUCGUAAAACUCUGUUAUUGGGGAAGAACAAAUGUGUAAGUAACUAUGCACGUCUUGACGGUAACUAAUCAGAAAGCCACGGCUAACUACGUG
RNAcentral lists this ribosomal RNA (497 nucleotides) under uncultured bacterium. RNAcentral's name for it is "partial 16S ribosomal RNA". It matches the Rfam family "Bacterial small subunit ribosomal RNA", at positions 28 to 507 of the family's 1533-position model. The record is from RNAcentral.